This 207-nucleotide ribosomal RNA is filed under the name uncultured bacterium. Its description in RNAcentral is "partial 16S ribosomal RNA". It matches the Rfam family "Bacterial small subunit ribosomal RNA", at positions 568 to 774 of the family's 1533-position model. The record is from RNAcentral.
UUCGUAGGUGGCCAACUAAGUCGGACGUGAAAUCCCUCAGCUUAACUGGGGAACUGCGUCUGAGACUGGAUGGCUUGAGUGCAGGAGAGGAACGCGGAAUUCCAGGUGUAGCGGUGAAAUGCGUAGAUAUCUGGAGGAACACCGGUGGCGAAGGCGGCGUUCUGGACUGCUACUGACACUGAGGAACGAAAGCCAGGGGAGCAAACG